This 253-nucleotide ribosomal RNA is filed under the name uncultured bacterium. RNAcentral's name for it is "partial 16S ribosomal RNA". It matches the Rfam family "Bacterial small subunit ribosomal RNA", at positions 524 to 776 of the family's 1533-position model. The record is from RNAcentral.
GACAGAGGGUGCAAACGUUGUUCGGAAUUACUGGGCGUAAAGCGAGUGUAGGCGGUCUCCUAAGUCGGGUGUGAAAGCCCCGGGCUCAACCUGGGAAUUGCAUUCGAGACUGAAUAGCUAGGGUACGGUAGAGGGAAGUGGAAUUUCCGGUGUAGCGGUGAAAUGCGUAGAUAUCGGAAGGAACAUCAGUGGCGAAAGCGACUUCCUGGACCAGUACCGACGUUCAGGCACGAAAGCGUGGGGAGCAAACAGG